ACCUGGAGAACAAGGGAGUACUUUACAAAUGGCAAGUUUUGAUAAUCAAGCGCCCACCUGCAGAAUAAGGGAAUAUUUUUUAAAUUUAAAGUUUUGGUUAUCAGGCGCCCACCUGAACAACAAGGGAAUCUUUUUCAAAUUUCAAGCUUUGGUAAUCAAGCACCCACCUGCAGAACAAGGGAAUACAUUUCAAAUUUUUUGGUAAUCAGGCGCCCAUCUAGAUAACAAGGGAAUACAUUUCAAAUUACAAGUUUUGGCAAUCAGGCACCCACCUGCAGAACAAGGGAAUACAUUUCAAAUUUUAAGUUUUGGUAAUCAGGCCCCCACCUGCAGAACAAGGGAAUACCUUUUCAAAUUUUGGAGUCAUGGAAAUCAGGCACCCACCUGCUGAACCAGAGAAUACAUUUUAGAUUUCAAUCUUUGGUAAUCAGGCAGCCACAUGUAGAAUAAGGAACGCAUUUAAAAUUUGAAGCUUUGGUAAUCAGGAGGCCACCUAUUGAACAAGAGAAUACAUUUCAAAUUUAAAGUUUUGGUAAUUACGCGCCCACCUGGAGAACAAGAGAGUACUUUUCAAAUUUCAAGCUAUGGCAAUCAGGCACCCACCUGCAGAACAAGGGAAUACAUUUCAAAUAUUUUGUAGUCAGGCGGCCACCUGGAGAACAAGUGAGUACUUUUCAAAUUACAAGUUUUGGUAAUCAAGCGCCCACCUGCAGAACAAGGGAAUACUUUUCAAAUUUCAAAUUUUGGUAAUAAGGCGCCCACCUGGAGAACAAUGGGAAUACUUUUCAAGUUGCAAGUAUUGGUAAUCAGGCACCCACCUGGAGAAGAAGGGAAUAUUUUUCAAAUUUUAUGUCUUGGUAAUCAGGCACCCACCUCUAGAACAAGGGAAUACAUUUUAGAUUUCAUGUUUUGGUAAUCAAGCACCCACCUGUGGAACAAGGGAAUGCAUUUCAAGUCUAACAAUUCAACAUCAAGCAUAGAAGAAGAGAAAACCAGAAGUUUUACAGGAAGAAAUACAAGUCAACAAGGCAACAAGAAGUUUAGAGGAAGAAAUACAAGGCAACAAAGAAAUAAGGAUCAAGAGAAAGUCUCAAGAUAUAGAUAGGUUCUUUUGUAACUCAUAGUUCAUAGCUUAGUCUAGCUUCUUUUUAUCUUCACAAGGUGUACUAAGGGGGUCUAACAAUAGUAGACAUAGCAGCAGCAACAACGAGAUCACAACUUCGGUAGUCUCAGCUACCAAACACUCCUGAACUACACUGGAUUGAUUCCUCUUUAUCUGAGAAUAUGUAGGAAAUCUCUGAAGUAGGGUGCGGUCAAGCUUUUCAAAAUGCUUCUCAUGGAGUAUUCAACAAACAAAAAUCGCUCAUGUCAGCUCACUUCUUUAUGCGAAAACUCUUAGCAUUUCCGAGAAAAGAGGGGAAGUUGUGAGCAUGUGAUUUUCUCCUAUAUAAAUUACUCCGAUAAAUCCUAAAAAAAUCAAUUUUUUGUUUAUUUGCAAUUUUGGGGAUUUUUCGUGGCAUUUUCUGUUAAUGUUCUACAUUCGUUCGUGCAUAUUUAUUUUAUCUUAAUUAAUCAAAAAUAAAAAAAUAUGUGGCAUGCGCAUUUAGGAGUUAAUUCUGCAUUUGAAAGAAUUAUUAAGUAAUUGGUUCAUUUUAUAAAAAAAGGAAGAAAUUCAAAAAUAUUCAAUUUGCACUUUAAUUCUAAUUUUGAUAUCUAAGUGAUUUUCAUUCUUUAAUUGUGUGUUAACUAAUUGUGAUAAUUAUUAUUUAUGAUUAAUUAGCACCUCUUAUAGGUCAAAUUGUGCAUUUCAUUUUAUUAAUUUAGGAUUUUUAAAUUACUUUUGAAAAUGAAAAACAAAAAAAAGGGUAAGAAAAUUAAAUCUGAAUAAAUAAAGAAAUAAGGAGAGAAAACAUAUUUGGAUCAGUCUUCAUAAUCCUCUCAGCCCAAAUGGAUCUCCAGCCUAAUACACUACCCAUACUCGGUCCCUGACCCAGCCCAGCCCCACCGGCUACCAAACGACGCCGUUUACCCCUUAAGUAAUCUUGGUCGUCGAGGAUUUUUGAACUAACGACCAGGAACUCGGGGUUCCUCACUAUAUAACUGUCCAAACCCCACCCACCCCCAAAUACAGCCCAUCCCAAACCCCUCACUAUCGGAGCCCUAGCACCACCCCACAUCCGCCACUACUUCGCUGAAUGCCGCCGGCGGCAGUGAUGCUCUGAUGACUCCCAAAAUUACACCACCCCCUCCUCGACCUCCUCUUUCCAUUUCUCCCUUUGGUUUCCUUGGAAUAGCAGCCAAACUCGUCAAAUAUUCAUUUGAAUAGAUAGCUCCUCUGCCUCCCAUAGCGGCGUCGACGCCGACGUCGACGCCAAACGACUCCAAAUUUACACCAUGGACUCCCCUCACCUUACCCAGUCCGAAUCCCCAACCUAUCUUUUAUGAAUCAACCCAAUACUUAUCGAAUUUAAGAUUGAAAUAGGACCCCUAAAUCCUAGCAUACCCAAUUAGUCUCAAAUUAACGCUAAACGACUCCUGACUUCCUCUGAUCCCAAAUUCGUGUCCUAUUCCUUCCAAACAACCAUAAAACUAGUCGAAUAUCAUUUAAAGGAUUUGACCCAGCCGAUGCAUGAAGAUGCUCAGGGUUCAGUACAUUUUUUUUAAAAGAAAAGAGCUAACUAUUCUAUUUCUUUUGCUCUUUGUUGUAUAUUUCGUCUGCUUCAUCUCCUUUCUGUCAACUUGUUUAGUUAUGUUUAAAUAAUUGGGUAUCGGUUUAUUUUGUUUUCAGAGUAUAAUUAAGCUAAUUAGGGUUGUUUUGAUUAAUCGUAUUAUGCUUUUGAAUUAGGUUCAAUUGGAAUUUAGUCAAAUAGCGCCACAUCUUAGUUUGAAUAAAUGACUUUGGGUUAAUUGAAUCUCAUCUUGUUCAAUCAGUCAUGGUUCACGUUGGCAUUUUGUUGCAUGAUUGUCAUCUGUAGCCUUUAAAUUUUCAGUAGUCUAUCAUUCGAUCUAGGUUAAGAUUGUUAAAUCAACCAUUGGAAAAUAAUACAAGUAAGUGUAUAUAGUUCAGGGACAAUUCUGAUUUUUGAGGGCAUUGAUUGAUAAUAUUUGUCGCAUUUGCAAUUUUGUUUGCUUGAGAUCAUUUGAAAUUUCAGAAUAUAAGUUGUCGAAGGGUCAAAAGUAAAUAGUAGGGCUCGUAAGGGUUAGUUUAGUAAUUAUAGAUUGGGAAAUCUUUCAUAAUUGACCUGGAAGCUUCUAGUAAAGAUUUUUUUGCUAAUUUUUAUUUUACAACUUAGUUAACAAGUUUAAAAUGAGGGGCCAAGUUGAAAUAACCAAGCUGUAGGGCAGCCCUAUUUUAUCUUGCCUAUAAAGGCCCUCCUUCCGGCUCUAGAUUUUAUAGAUUGGCGGACCUUAAUAAAUUAGAGAGAUAAAAAUACAGAGGUUAUACAUUCUGAAAAUUGGAGAGAUUGGAAGAGCUGAAAACUAAAAAUAUACAAAAAAGAGUUAUACUGAUUUUACUGUUUCAUCUAUUUUGCAUCUAUUUUUGACUUUUGUUUAAUUCCUGGAGCUAUUUUUGAAUUAUUUGGUUUUAAAGUUCUUCAAAUCUGGUUUAUGUUUGCAGGCGUACUUUAAGUGUGAAGUUGGUUUUGGACUGUCUCAUACCAUUUUCUGAUUUCAAAGUUGAUCGUAGAUUGGUGUUUGCUUGCUAUUGCUACUACUGAAUCUUACCCCUUCUAUUCUACUUCCAGGUAUAUUUUUGAACUAUUAUUUGUCAAUGCUGUGUUACAAGUUUGAAGUCGAUUGAAUCCCUGUGACGAUCCAAUUACACGAGUGUGAAUUCAAGUGGAUGUGUUAGCCCUAGCUGUAGCAUGAUAGAUUCUAUUACGUUAAAUUUUUUGUUUACCAUAUCUAUUACUUAACUUUAAUGAAUUGGUUUAUUUGGUCAUGAUCUAUGGUUCAAAUGUGAUGAUCCAUUAGAAUAGAUGUUUGGAUGCAUAGUUCCUAUAAUAUUAAAUGAAAAUUUCGUAUGUAAAUGGAUUGUUAAGAAUGUUAUGAGGACUGACCACCUGAAUAUCCCAGCUUAUUUGUUUUCUAUAGUUUAGAGUUAGGAUUUGGGUAUGAAGAAGUUUUGGUAACGAUAGAAUCCGGUACAACAUGAUUUGAAUAUGGAUUUUCAAAAUUGUGAUUUAAUUAAUUCAUGCAUGCUUAUAUUUGUUUCAGCUAAACGUAAAGUUAGUUUUUGUUUUGGUGUUCAUUGUAAAUAUGGUUUGAAAUCAAAAAUGCACUUUGUUCAUGCGUAUGGAUAAUUAAUUCUAGUUUAGAAUUUGAAUAAUAUUUGGAAGUAUUGUGGUCAUGAUUGUUGUUGAAAUAAUUUGGAUCAUAAAAUUCGGCUAUAGCAUGUGGCCCAAUAACUGUAAGGGUGCACAUUAAUGCAUCUGCUUCUUCUGGGCUUCUGGUAGACCCAUUUAUCCUUUUGUGCGUGUGGUCGUCUAAGCCUGUUAUUUGGGUCUUUUGGAGACUUUAGACCAAAAGUCCACUUGAGUUGAAAUUACUAGCUUCAUCAGUUGGGCCAUUACAAGUGGCCCCAGAAAUUUUAGCAUGGACAACCCUAUCUUGUUGUUGGUCUCUCGAUUGGGCCCAAAUGAGGUAGCCUUUAUUCUUUAAAUCAUCAGCUCGAUUGUGAGCUAAAUUGAAUCCUUUGCUUUACUUUAUUAACAUUCUCUCGUAAGUUAUACAUAGAAUUUCUACCUAGUCUAGAGACCUUUAAGUAGAGUAAAUUGAGGUGCGCCGCAUCAAACGGAAAUCGCAAAUAUGUGGCCUCGCUUAAGUUAAAUACUUAAAAUAUAUAGAACUCGAGGUGCACCACUUAGUGAAUUUUUGUGGCCCUCGUAGACUCAAACAUGAAAUUGAUUUAGGCGCGUUAUUAAAAUAAUGUAUCUUCUUAAACUCGAGUGCAUAUUUAUGUGACCCAAAUCUAAAUCCCAAUGAUAUUAAAAUAUGCCAAAAAUCACGGGUGCAUUUAUGUGACAUGGAUCGAGAUGUGUUUUAAUAACGUUGCAAUUUUCUUUAAAAAUAAUAAUAAUAAUAACGGUUAAAAGUCAAAUUGGCACAUAGGUACAAAUGGAUUAAAACCAGAUAAUCAGGCCAAAUAUAAUAGGUGAGCGACCGUUCUAGAACCACGGAACUCGGGAGUGCCUAACACCUUCUCCCAGGUUAACAAAAUUCCUUACCAGGAAUUCUGGCUCGCAGACUGUAUACAGAGUAAAACCUUCCUCGAUUCGGGAUUUACCGGUAACUUGGGGCACCAUAAAUCAUCCCAAGUGGUGACUCUGUAAUCUCUUAAAUAAAUAAAUCCCUCUUCGAUUGUCCUUUAAUUGUACAAACUCCCUUAGAUACGACCUUCGCGGGGUUGCAGUGUAAAAAAGGAGGUGUGACAGCUUGUAAUAGGUCGGAUUACAAGUUAGUGAAUUGAAAAGCCUACAGGUGUAGGUCAUUUUUUGAUCCCCUUGUGCGGGAUUUUUCCACGUAAAAAACCUCUACCUCAUUUACUUACAGCUUUACUAAGUGGUCUCAGCAGAAACUUGUAUAGGACCAGGUACUCUACGAUUUGUUGGACCAUACAAACUAAUAGAUAGGUUGCCUCAUUUGAGACCUGUUCCUCAAUCACAAUUUAUUCUUACUUUGCGGAAUUCAAUAUCAACACAAUACCACCAUAUGUGGGGAAUGACGUCCGAUUACGGCCCGACCAGAAUAAUUCUAUCUCAGAUCCUGACAUCGUUGCGGCACCCGGAUGAAUAGAAUACCGCGAGCUAUGCGCCUCCUCUAGAAUCAACUCUCGAAGCCCAUCUACAUUAGGUACACAUAUCCGGCCCUGCAUACUCAACACCCCAUCAUCACCAAUAGUCAUAUAUCUGGCAUCAUCAUACCAAACUCUAUCCGUAAGUACAAGCAAAUGAGGAUCAUCAUAUUAAUGCUCUCUGAUACGAUCAUAUAACGAAGACCGAGAAAUCACACGAGCCAAUACCCGAUUGGGCUAUGAAAUAUAUAACCUCACAAACCAAUUGUCCAAGGAAUGAACAUCAAUUACAAGAGGUUUCUCUCUAACUGGAAUAUAUGCCAACUCCCCAUAUUCAUUGCCCUUCGGCUCAAAGCAUCAGCCACCAUAUUCGCUUUCCCCCGAUGGUACAAAAUAGUGAUAUCAUAAUCCAUUAGAUACUCCAAACAUCUCCACUGCCUCUAAUUGAAAUCCUUCUGCUUGAACAAGUGCUAGAGGCUAUAAUGAUCACUAAACACCUCACGAGACACACCAUACAAAUAAUGCCUGUCACACCUUCUUUUUCUUACAUCCACACGAAGGGUGUAAAAGGAAGAUUUUCAAAUUAUUGUGACAAUCGAAACAAGAUUUAUUUAUUUAAAGAUUCGGAGUCGCCACUUGGGAUAAUUUAUGGUGUCCCAAGUCACUAGUUGAAUCCCAAACCAGAAAUCUGGGUAAGGAAUUCUGUUAAACUGGGAGAAGGGGUUAGGAAUUCCCGAGUUCCGUGGUUCUAGCACGAUCGUUCGACUGUUAUUAUUAGCCUAUUAUAUGAUUUUAAUACAUGUUUUAGCCUAUGGUUAAAUUUUAACUUUAACAACUACAUUUAAUUAUUUUUAAGGAAAAUUGAAAUGCAAUUUAAAAUAUGUCUUGAACCACAUCACAUAAAUGCACACGCGGCUAUCGACAUAUUUUAUCUAACUUUAUUGAGAUUUAGAUUUGGGUCACAUAAAUGCGCGCUCGAGUUUAGGAAAGUAAAUUAUUGCAUGCCUAAGGCAACCACAAUUUUUCACAAAUUUCUUAUCCUAAAAAAAUAUUGAGGUUAUAUAAAUUAACAAGAACAAAGUUUUAAUCUAUCUUGCUACUUCAUUUCUUCUAUAACAACACUUUCAGCCAACAAAAUUAGAAUGACGCGGGAGAACCUGUUUAUUUAGAAAGAAUGUAGGUAACUAAAAAUGAUAAUCACAUUGUCAUACUAGUAUUUCAAUCAAACUUCAAAUACACUUCCCCUGAAACAUUCAACAUGAACUAAUGUCACACAGAACUUUCAGCAACCAUUCAUCACUUAUUAGAACAAGAUUCUCAAAUCAUAAACUAAGAGAUCUUUAAAUUAAAACCAAUACAAGCACACAAAAAGUUGUACAGUGGGUCAUUCAAAUAUACUCAAAUUAAAUACUAGGCGCAUGUAAUGUAUUAACAAGAGUAAGUAGCGAUAAUAAAAUGUGACCUUUAUUGUUGUGCUUUCUUUAGCGUAUACAAUGAGAGAAGCCUCCGAUACAACGAACCGACAAGAGAGCUAAUGACCUGAGCCUCGAACCGACAACUGAGCCUCGAACGGACGGCGACGACUUCGACAACUCGAUGACUGAAAACGUCUCACUUGCUGUCACUGUUUCAGCUGUAUUUCUGUCAUGGAAGUAGCAGAACUGAGAGGGUGGAACGGUAGCUCUAUGUGUGCCUUUCGGUUUCAAUGGUGGUAGCUGGUGACGUAGUGCAUCUGGUUUCCGACGAACAACAGCUAAUUUGAGUUGUUUGGUCACUGGAUUUGUUUGGGAAUUAGGAGGAGGUCUAAAGUUGCGAAAAUGGUGAAGAAGCAGAACCAAACCGAUAGGGGUCGUUUCAAUGUGUCGCAACUCAAGGGUUUUAAGGUGGAGGAGCUUCAAAGGAGUUUUAUUGCUAUCUCCAUGAAGAAGACGAUGGAGAAGCUAUGUAAGGGGGUCUGUUUAUUGCGGCUGCUUUCUCCCAGAGUGUCUCCUUCUCCUGUGUAGCCUCCUUGGUCUUUCUUGCUUAAGAAGAGGCCAUGAAUCUGACUUUCUUCUCUGAAGAGAUCAAAAUGAUGGAGUGGAGUUUUUUCUUUUUUGCACUAUUGCGGCUCUUCAGAUUUCUUCAGGCGUCAUUUUUUGUUCUCCUUUUAUCGUAGAGUCUAG
This 7956-nucleotide long non-coding RNA is filed under the name Nicotiana benthamiana. RNAcentral's name for it is "long non-coding RNA (NBEN_LNC041756)". The record is from RNAcentral. Lineage: Eukaryota; Viridiplantae; Streptophyta; Magnoliopsida; Solanales; Solanaceae.